GCGCCAACUCCGAGUGACAACACCACGCGUGGACAGCGAUAAACGAAAUUCGUCAAUUUUAUUUGAAAAAACAAAGAUGGUAAAUAAAUAUAAAAGAAAAUCACAACAAGGUUCUUGGAGUGAAGCUGUAAUACUUCAGCUCAAAAGCUUCAAAAUACUAGAAGAUAAUGAUUCAAGACUGCAUUAUUCAAAGAGAGUUCCUUCUGAUUAGUUUUAUGUUUUAAUUUUUAUGUUGUUUGAUGAAUUUUUAUGUCUAGAAUCUAUUUUUUCGCAAUAAAGAAAGUAUGAUUCUCA
This is a long non-coding RNA of Ostrinia nubilalis (European corn borer), 294 nucleotides long. RefSeq lists it as uncharacterized. Lineage: Eukaryota; Metazoa; Arthropoda; Insecta; Lepidoptera; Crambidae. The record is from RefSeq and is a predicted model, not a curated record. The transcript has 2 exons.